RNAcentral lists this ribosomal RNA (259 nucleotides) under uncultured bacterium. RNAcentral's name for it is "partial 16S ribosomal RNA". It matches the Rfam family "Bacterial small subunit ribosomal RNA", at positions 793 to 1055 of the family's 1533-position model. The record is from RNAcentral.
GUCCACGCCCUAAACGAUGAACACUCGCUGUUGGCGAUACACAGUCAGCGGCUAAGCGAAAGCGUUAAGUGUUCCACCUGGGGAGUACGCCCGCAAGGGUGAAACUCAAAGGAAUUGGACGGGGGCCCGCACAAGCGGAGGAGCAUGUGGUUUAAUUCGAUGAUACGCGAGGAACCUUACCCGGGCUUGAAAGUUAGUGAAGCUUCCAGAGAUGGGAGCGUCCGCAAGGACACGAAACUAGGUGCUGCAUGGCUGUCGU